Regulatory RNA element from Cavia porcellus (domestic guinea pig), 45 nucleotides. It matches the Rfam family "Histone 3' UTR stem-loop". From Rfam's summary of the family: The mRNAs of metazoan histone genes lack a poly-A tail. 3' end processing occurs at a site between a highly conserved stem-loop (modelled by this family) and a purine rich region around 20 nts downstream (the histone downstream element, or HDE). The record is from Rfam. NCBI's taxonomy places the organism in Eukaryota, Metazoa, Chordata, Mammalia, Rodentia, Caviidae.
CCAAAGGCUCUUUUCAGAGCCCCCAUCUUCUCAAAUAAAGAGCUA